UACGGGGGGGGCAAGCGUUGUUCGGAUUCAUUGGGCGUAAAGGGUGUGUAGGUGGCGCUGUAAGUCGGGUGUGAAAUUUCGGAGCUUAACUCCGAAACUGCAUUCGAUACUGCGGUGCUUGAGGACUGGAGAGGAGACUGGAAUUCAUGGUGUAGCAGUGAAAUGCGUAGAGAUCAUGAGGAAGACCAGUGGCGAAGGCGGGUCUCUGGACAGUUCCUGACACUGAGACACGAAGGCCAGGGGAGCAAACGGG
RNAcentral lists this ribosomal RNA (253 nucleotides) under uncultured bacterium. Its description in RNAcentral is "partial 16S ribosomal RNA". It matches the Rfam family "Bacterial small subunit ribosomal RNA", at positions 524 to 776 of the family's 1533-position model. The record is from RNAcentral.